GCAGUCGAGCGGCAGCGCGGGGCAACCUGGCGGCGAGCGGCGAACGGGUGAGUAAUAUAUCGGAACGUAUCCUUAAGUGGGGGACAACCUAGCGAAAGUUAGGCUAAUACCGCAUACGCAGGGAACUGGAAAGUGGGGGAUCGCAAGACCUCACGCUUUUGGAGCGGCCGAUAUCAGAUUAGCUUGUUGGUGAGGUAAAGGCUCACCAAGGCGACGAUCUGUAGCUGGUCUGAGAGGAUGAUCAGCCACACUGGGACUGAGACACGGCCCAGACUCCUACGGGAGGCAGCAGUGGGGAAUUUUGGACAAUGGGGGCAACCCUGAUCCAGCCAUUCCGCGUGAGUGAAGAAGGCCUUCGGGUUGUAAAGCUCUUUUGUUCGGGACGAAACGGUUAAGGUUAAUAACCUUGACUAAUGACGGUACCGGAAGAAUAAGCACCGGCUAACUACGUGCCAGCAGCCGCGGUAAUACGUAGGGUGCGAGCGUUAAUCGGAAUUACUGGGCGUAAAGCGUGCGCAGGCGGUUAUGUAAGCCAGAUGUGAAAUCCCCGGGCUCAACCUGGGAAUGGCAUUUGGGACUGCAUAGCUAGAGUAUGGCAGAGGAGACUAGAAUUCCUGGUGUAGCAGUGAAAUGCGUAGAUAUCAGGAGGAAUACCGAUGGCGAA
RNAcentral lists this ribosomal RNA (664 nucleotides) under uncultured bacterium. RNAcentral's name for it is "bacterial SSU rRNA". It matches the Rfam family "Bacterial small subunit ribosomal RNA", at positions 57 to 719 of the family's 1533-position model. The record is from RNAcentral.